This 835-nucleotide long non-coding RNA is filed under the name Homo sapiens (human). RNAcentral's name for it is "novel transcript". The record is from RNAcentral. Lineage: Eukaryota; Metazoa; Chordata; Mammalia; Primates; Hominidae.
UGUUAAUUUAAAUGAGAAAAAUAAGGACAGUGAAAAACAGAGCGCUUAAAAAGCACUGUCUGGAUAUCUUCAGAGGGAAAAAGGAGAAAGUUAACUGAAUUGGUGACACUUCGGGUCUCUCACAGAGGAAGACCUAUUAGAGUGCUAAGGAGAAGACAAGUUAUUAGCACCCAAAAGAAGCACCAGUGCGGAUGGAAAUACAAGGUUGACAUUCGCUGAGCUGUGUUUUUUUUUUCCAGGGAAAUGGUUAUUCUUGAUAUUUUGAGCAAACUCUUCUUCUCUGAUCAGUGCCCAGAACAAGGAAACAGACCUUCUCUUUCCAGUACCUCCUAUCUAUCUAGAUAAUACGGAAGCCAGGGAGAAGAAUGGGAACCCAAGAUCUAUGAGCCCUUAUGGCAUAUGAAAAGUGGGUGUUAUCUGAAAAGUAGAACUCUAGAUGAAACCAGGCCUUUCCCAACAAUGGAGCCCAGGACAAUGCUGUCUUCAAUGUCCAUACCAUUAGACUUGUUAUAGAUGAGUUUCUAUAAUGAUGGCUUUCUGGUUAAUUAAACCUUCUGAAUGAUUCUGUGUAACACUGACUUCUGUGAUUCAUCACAGAACAAGUCUUCCUUCUUUCAUGGAGUAUUACUGUUUUCAGUGACUAUAUUUGGUUGUUUACUCUUUUUGGCACCAAUCACCCAGUGAAUCAACAACCAGAGUUGCAAACAAAUUACCCUCAUUGUCUUUUCCGAGUCCCUUAAUUUACUUUAUUUUUCAUUUGUUGCAAAUGUCAUUGUUUCUGCUAAUGUUGUUUUUUAACAUCUGCCAAGAUAAAAAAUAAAAAAAUCACUUGUAA